GGUUUCCUUCGGGGUCAGGUGAAAUUCCGAACCGGCGGUGAUGAAGCUGUGCUUCUUAGUCCGUGACCCGGUUAACGUUUUCGUUAAACGGUGGAUCUGGUGAAACUCCAGGGCCGACAGUUAAAGUCUGGAUGGGAGAAGGAAAAA
RNAcentral lists this non-coding RNA (147 nucleotides) under Bacillus sp. (in: firmicutes). RNAcentral's name for it is "Bacillus sp. FMN sequence". It matches the Rfam family "FMN riboswitch aptamer (RFN element)". Rfam says of the family: The RFN element is a highly conserved domain that is found frequently in the 5'-untranslated regions of prokaryotic mRNAs that encode for flavin mononucleotide (FMN) biosynthesis and transport proteins. This element is a metabolite-dependent riboswitch that directly binds FMN in the absence of proteins. In Bacillus subtilis, the riboswitch most likely controls gene expression by causing premature transcription termination within the 5' untranslated region of the ribDEAHT operon and precluding access to the ribosome-binding site of ypaA mRNA. RNAcentral also lists the same sequence under 1 other name. The record is from RNAcentral. Lineage: Bacteria; Bacillati; Bacillota; Bacilli; Caryophanales; Bacillaceae.